AACGCGAAGAACCUUACCUACCCUUGGAUACAGUAGAGCUUACAGAGAUGUGAGUGUGCCUUCGGGAAUACUGAUACAGGUGCUGCAUGGCUGUCGUCAGCUCGUGUCGUGAGAUGUUGGGUUAAGUCCCGUAACGAGCGCAACCCUUAUCCUUAGUUGCCAGCACGUUAAGGUGGGAACUCUAAGGAGACUGCCGGUGACAAACCGGAGGAAGGCGGGGACGACGUCAAGUCAUCAUGGCCCUUACGGGUAGGGCUACACACGUGCUACAAUGGCCGAUACAGAGGGGAGCGAAGGGGUGACCUGGAGCGAAUCUUAUAAAGUUGGUCGUAGUCCGGAUUGAAGUCUGCAACUCGACUUCAUGAAGUCGGAAUCGCUAGUAAUCGCGAAUCAGCAUGUCGCGGUGAAUACGUUCCCGGGCCUUGUACACACCGAGUAUA
RNAcentral lists this ribosomal RNA (440 nucleotides) under uncultured bacterium. RNAcentral describes it as "bacterial SSU rRNA". It matches the Rfam family "Bacterial small subunit ribosomal RNA", at positions 958 to 1398 of the family's 1533-position model. The record is from RNAcentral.